UCAUUUUCUAUUAUUGAACCCUCUCCUCCCGAGUCCCCACCCCUCUAUAAAUACAAAACAUUCAUACCAAUAGUUGCUCAACACAUCCAUUCCAUUUAAAAGACGCCUAGAGAAAAAAAGAAGGGCAAAAAAAAGAAUAAGAGAGAGAGCAUCAGACGGGGUUUGAAUUAUGGCAAGCAUCAACGUUCCUGGAAAGAGCUCGUGGCCGGAGCUGGUAGGGAAAAAUGGGGGGGUUGCGGCAACAACGAUAAUCAGUGAGAAUCCAAAUGUGUUUGUGGUGAUAAUCCCCCCGUCUAUCACCGCCGUCACCGGCCCCUACUUAGGCAAUCGUGUCCGUGUCGUUGUCGAUGACUCCUGCAUUGUCACUGCAGUCCCUAAUAUUGGGUGAACAAUCGUGUCACUAAAUUGAAUAAUAUGAAUGAGCUCCUCAAUAUGUUAAUUAGGGGAGCCGAUGCCCAUCGCUCUUAAAAGUUAUGAAAUAAAUGUUCUUUAUUCCGUGUCCGUCUUAAUCUA
Non-coding RNA from Punica granatum (pomegranate), 513 nucleotides. Lineage: Eukaryota; Viridiplantae; Streptophyta; Magnoliopsida; Myrtales; Lythraceae. The record is from RefSeq and is a predicted model, not a curated record.